This 423-nucleotide ribosomal RNA is filed under the name uncultured bacterium. RNAcentral describes it as "bacterial SSU rRNA". It matches the Rfam family "Bacterial small subunit ribosomal RNA", at positions 207 to 622 of the family's 1533-position model. The record is from RNAcentral.
AAGACCUUGCGCUUUUGGAGCGGCCGAUGUCUGAUUAGCUUGUUGGUAAGGUAAAAGCUUACCACGGCUUCGAUCAGUAGCUGGUCUGAGAGGACGACCAGCCACACUGGGACUGAGACACGGCCCAGACUCCUACGGGAGGCAGCAGUGGGGAAUUUUGGACAAUGGGGGCAACCCUGAUCCAGCCAUGCCGCGUGAGUGAAGAAGGCCUUCGGGUUGUAAAGCUCUUUCAGCCGGAACGAAACGGUUACGGUUAAUACCCGUGACUACUGACGGUACCGGAAGAAGAAGCACCGGCUAACUACGUGCCAGCAGCCGCGGUAAUACGUAGGGUGCAAGCGUUAAUCGGAAUUACUGGGCGUAAAGCGUGCGCAGGUGGUUUUGUAAGUCAGAUGUGAAAUCCCCGGGCUUAACCUGGGAACU